This 408-nucleotide ribosomal RNA is filed under the name uncultured bacterium. RNAcentral describes it as "partial 16S ribosomal RNA". It matches the Rfam family "Bacterial small subunit ribosomal RNA", at positions 28 to 526 of the family's 1533-position model. The record is from RNAcentral.
GACGAACGCUGGCGGCGUGCUUAACACAUGCAAGUCGAACGAAGUGGCGAACGGGUGAGUAACGCGUAAUCACCCUGCCCUUCAGAGGGGUACCACAGUUGGAAACGACUGCUCAUCCCGCAUACUGAAGGAGGUGAUCGCGUCGGAUUAGCUAGUUGGAGGGGUAACGGCCCACCAAGGCGAUGAUCAGUAGCCGGUUUGGGAGAAGGAACGGCCACAUUGGGACGUGAACAAGGCCCAGACUCCUACGGGAAGCAGCAGGGGGGAAUCUUCCGCAAUGGACGAAAGUCUGACGGAGCAACGCCGCGUGAGUGAUGACGGCCUUCGGGUUGGAAAGCUCUGUUAAUCGGGACGCGGUACCGGAAUAGAAAGCCACGGCUAACUACGUGCCAGCAGCCGCGGUAAUAC